AUUGAACGCUGGCGGCAUGCCUUACACAUGCAAGUCGAACGGCAGCGGACCUUCGGGUGCCGGCGAGUGGCGAACGGGUGAGUAAUAUAUCGGAACGUACCUUUCAGUGGGGGAUAACGUAGCGAAAGUUACGCUAAUACCGCAUAUUCUGUGAGCAGGAAAGCAGGGGAUCGCAAGACCUUGCGCUGAUUGAGCGGCCGAUAUCAGAUUAGCUAGUUGGUGAGGUAAAGGCUCACCAAGGCGACGAUCUGUAGCGGGUCUGAGAGGAUGACCAGUCACACCGGAACUGAGACACGGUCCGGACUCCUACGGGAGGCAGCAGUGGGGAAUAUUGGACAAUGGGCGCAAGCCUGAUCCAGCCAUGCCGCGUGGGUGAAGAAGGCCUCGGUUGUAAG
Molecule: ribosomal RNA, 395 nt
Filed under: uncultured bacterium
Lineage: Bacteria
Description: bacterial SSU rRNA
Rfam family: Bacterial small subunit ribosomal RNA
Source: RNAcentral